Molecule: long non-coding RNA, 2633 nt
Organism: Oncorhynchus nerka (sockeye salmon)
Lineage: Eukaryota; Metazoa; Chordata; Actinopteri; Salmoniformes; Salmonidae
Exons: 2
Source: RefSeq, a predicted model, not a curated record
UGAGAGGAUGGAAGUUCAACAUGUAGUUACAGUGGAUGUAGUAUGCUAAUGUUAACUACCUGGCCUGGCUUAUCGUUCCUUUGAAAAUAAGUUAGGAGAGCAAGUAUUUUAGCCAGGUAACCUAGGACAACAAAAACUAAAAAGCAUGUACUGUAUUGUAUGACAGAGUCAUAGACCGUUUAGUCAACAUGAAAGAGGAGGAUGACGUUGGCGUUUCUCUAUAAAUAGUGAGUCAACAUGUUUUUUUUCUACUUGCACGCACACACAUAUUUGCACACAGAAAUCAGUCCCAUGGACAGCCACAUCAUAUGUAUCUUACGUUGUUGAUUGGACUAAAUCGUUUUUGUUUUGCCGCCCUGACUCUGGCUCCUGUCUCCUGUUCCACUUCUCACCACCCUGCAACCCUGUUCUGGACUCACCACACCACCACUCCCUAGGAUUCCCCUCCGGACCUGUUUACCCUCAAUCAACAUGACCAAGCUCUUAAAACCCUUCUGGAGACUACCUUCGCCCAAAGCUCACAACCUGUCCCUCCUCUCUGCACCGGGAGCCGUUUGUUCCUACUCCAGAGCGCUACAAUGGUAAUCUUGGAACCUGCAGGGCCUUUUUGGUACAAUGUUCACUAGUAUUUGAGCAACAGCCCUACUCUUAUGCUCGUGAACAAGCCAAGAUUUAGUUUUUGAUUGGUUGCCUCUGUGGAGCAGCGCUUUCCUGGGCCACUGCUGUGUGUGAGGGACAGUCACCCAUUUGCUUCUCCUGUAGUAGAUUCACGGAUACCCAGUCGCCCCUGGUCACACAUAGCUCUAGACUUCAUCACUGGCCUUCCUCCAUCUAACAGUAACUCAGUCCAGGACCACAGGCGCCAUUGUCAUUGCACCUGGAGGAGGGACUGGUCUGUUUCUCGUGCCUCUGCCAGGACCCAAUCCCAAGCUAACCGUUCCCGUGCUCCAGUCUACACUCCAGAUCAAAAGGAUUUCCAUACCUCACACCCUGACAAGUCGGGUUGUGCACCAGAUGGCGCCCUUGGGGGCUCCUGCCACACCCCCUAGUGGUCAUCCGGUGUCUGCUUGACCUGCAGCCAUUCCCCCAGUACUCUCUCGCUCUCUCUCUCUCCACUGCUUUUGAGAGGCACAUGUCCGUUUAGAAGUUUGACCAAUGGAUGUACUGCUAGUUCUGCUCCCCAUGGGACCCCAUAGGCUCACAUGGAUAGGCGGAGUUGAAGGUAAAGACAAAAUUAUGAACCUGGACAUUAAAACACUGGUGGAUUUCCUGGAAACUGAGGAGUCCAUUCAAAUUGAAUGUCUUUGAAAGUAUACAUACCCUUCUUAGACCAAUAAUCUGAUAUAAAUGGUUUCUUACACAAUAAUUAUUAUUUAUUACGCCAUAUUGGCGAGUAUGAAUGCAAUUUAAGAUUAGUUCUCAUAUGCUUCUUUGUAGCUUUCCACACAUUUACUGAGUGUGCUAUAAUGGGUCCAAACAAUAACACACAUUUUCUAGGAGUCAAUCCAGAAAAGAAUACAUCUUGUAAUCUAAUUGGUGAAACUAUUGACUCUUCUACAGCACGCCAAGGAACAGAAGCCUCUGGGUUUAACCAGGUCUUCAGGGAAUUCAUUUGGAAUGAUAGGUGAUACAUUUUUUGGAUUUGGAACUGCAAGUCCACCUGAUUUUGUUUUUGUUCUCUGUAGUGUUGCAUAUUUAAUCUGUGGUCUCUUUCUCCCCCAAAUGAACUUCUUUAUGACAGAGUAAAGUUGAGACCAAUGGUCUAUAGGAGGAGGCAGUGGUAGCAUGGAACUCAUUAAAUUGAUAUGAGGAAGGAUCAUUGAGAUUUUGAUCAUUGAGAUUCUAGCAUGCAAAGAAGUGGCCAUAUCAGACCAUCUUUUUCUGUAUUUUUGGAUCUUUUGAAAGGUUUCUAAGUAGUUCUUCCUGCUAGUAGUGUGAAUAGAUGGGGAUAUGGUAAUGCCUAAGUACGUGAUUUGUUUCUUCACUGGGAUCAUGGGUGGUAGUUGCACGCUUCCCAUAGCUGAGUUAAGAGCUAGUAGAGCUGAUGUAGACCAGUUGAUUGGAAAAUAGACAUUAUUGGCUGGAGGGAUUUCUGAGCGUUUGCGACGUAGAGCAGUAUGUCAUCUGCAUACAGAGAAAUUGCUUGUUCAGUUUGUUUGAUUUUGAUAUGUGAGGAAGCCUAAUGUUGACGUAUGCUUUGUGCCAGCGGUUCAAGAGGGAGCAAAUAGCAUAGUGGAGGCGGGACAGCCUUGUUUACGUCCUCGUUGUAUGAUAAAUGGAUUAGAAUGGGUAGUGCCAGUAGAUAUAACAGAAGAAUGAUUUACAUGUAUGGCGCGAAUCAUUUGUAUAAAUCUGGUCCCAAAACCAAAAUGUUCAAGAACAAGCCAUAGAUAUUCCCACUCUAAGCCGUCAAAGGCUUUCUCUGCAUCUAAUGAUAGCACAGCACACGGUGUAUCCAGAUAGGACGCCUCAACAACCACAUGAAACAUGCGGCACACGUUAUCGGCUGCCUGACGAUCCUUAAUAAACCCUGUUUGUUCAGGAUGUAUGAGCUUGUUAAUAACUAUCUCUUGACUAGAACUUUUGCAUACAUCUUCAUUUAUGUUCCGAUUAAACUCAUUGGCCGAAAAUUA